RNAcentral lists this ribosomal RNA (468 nucleotides) under uncultured bacterium. RNAcentral's name for it is "bacterial SSU rRNA". It matches the Rfam family "Bacterial small subunit ribosomal RNA", at positions 328 to 794 of the family's 1533-position model. The record is from RNAcentral.
UGUCCAGACUCCUACGGGAGGCAGCAGUGAGGAAUAUUGGUCAAUGGCCGAGAGGCUGAACCAGCCAAGUCGCGUGGGGGAUGACGGCCCUACGGGUUGUAAACCUCUUUUGCCGGGGAGCAAAGAGCGGGACGCGUCCCGCCUCGAGAGUACCCGGAGAAAAAGCAUCGGCUAACUCCGUGCCAGCAGCCGCGGUAAUACGGAGGAUGCGAGCGUUAUCCGGAUUUAUUGGGUUUAAAGGGUGCGUAGGCGGGCUGUUAAGUCGGCGGUAAAAGCCCGGGGCUCACCCCCGGCGAGCCGUUGAAACUGGCUGUCUUGAGAUGUCGAGAGGUAUGCGGAAUGCGCAGUGUAGCGGUGAAAUGCUUAGAUAUUGCGCAGAACUCCGAUUGCGAAGGCAGCAUACCGGCGGCGAUCUGACGCUGAGGCACGAAAGCGUGGGUAUCGAACAGGAUUAGAUACCCUGGUAGC